AGACAGAAAGAUGAAGUAAAGCUUUUACUCAUCAGGAACUUCAUAUCAAGUCCUUCACCUCUAUCACUUGUGGAGGAGAACAUGACUGGAUCCUGGAGACUAUUUCUACUCUGUAGUCUCCUGCAAGGUGCUGGGUGCA
Gadus morhua (Atlantic cod) is the source of this 139-nucleotide long non-coding RNA. RefSeq lists it as uncharacterized. The record is from RefSeq and is a predicted model, not a curated record. The transcript is spliced from 3 exons. NCBI's taxonomy places the organism in Eukaryota, Metazoa, Chordata, Actinopteri, Gadiformes, Gadidae.